Molecule: long non-coding RNA, 1248 nt
Organism: Cyprinus carpio carpio
Lineage: Eukaryota; Metazoa; Chordata; Actinopteri; Cypriniformes; Cyprinidae
Source: Ensembl
UGCUGUGUGAUAGCUGGGAUUUUAUUUUAUUUUAUUUUAUUCUAACUGAAUAUUGAGAUUUAAUCAACUAUAUUAAUCAACAAAAAUGAAAAAUGAAAUCAUUAAAAAAAAAGUUUUAGUUUCAUGAAAUAAAUUUAUCAAAUAAAAAUAGUAAAAUAAUGAAAUUCAUGAUUUUUUUUAAUUUUUUUUUUAUUACAUUUUAUUUUAUUGCAGCUAGCUGCAACAUGGGCCAAGGCAUUGUUUCUUUCUUUUUUUUAGUUACUAAAAUAACUUAAACUAAAACUAGAAUUAAAUUAAUAUUACAAAAUUACUAAAAAAUGCUAAGACUUUAACUAAAAUGAAAAUUAAAAUGAAAAUAAAAAGCUAAUUCAAAAUAUUAAUUAUUAUUAAAACUAUAAUGGUAAAGCAAUAAUAGUAAAAUAACACAGAUUCAAAUUCAUUAUUCUUAUUUCACUAAAACUAUGCAUAAAUGUAUAUUAGCAUUAUUCCUGUAAGUCAUUAUUCUUUCUAUUUUGCUAAAUUUGUUUAUUAGUAUAAUUUCUGUCAGUCUGAUAAAUGAGAAAAAUAUCAAUAAACAAUUAGUUGGAUUGUUAAAAAGUUGAAAAGAACAGUGUUUUAAUAGUUUUUACAGUUUUUCAUUACUGGUUGUUUUUGUAAAUAUCAGUUUUGCCUGAUUAUGAUAAUUCAUUUUUCAGCUUUUUGCAUUUUUAUUUCCCAGCCAUACUCUUUGCAUUCAGCAUCACUCUGUCAUAGGAAAGGUUGCACAUUCUCCUUAACGCACAGGUGAAUUGGGUGCACUGCUUCAAUCAAGGCUUCACUAUUGGGUUUGAGAGUCAUCUUAGCCCAGACAACAAAAGCAAACGCUACAGUGAGUGUCUCUACUAAUAUUCUGAAUAUUGAGAGAGGUGCACUCCUCCCACGGGACCGCCUAGGCGCCUCUCUCCUCCCUCGUUCCGCCAAAGAGGGGGAAAAAGAUUGCCCCUGAUCUUCCAUGUUCAUCAAUAUUCACUCAUUCAUCGUGAGCCAUGGCAGCUGAAAUUUGGCCUACUAUUGCUGAAUGGAUGACCCAGGGAUCCACUGUGUUGUCAUGAGGUUGUCUGCAAUUGAGAUUUAGGGUUAAAACAGAACAAUACACAAUUUUUAUGAAAUUCAGACUCAUCUACAUAUUUUAUGUUGUGACAGAAAACUUUUCAAUUUGCUCUGCAAGUUCUUAAGAUUACCCAGCCAUUUAAUAAGCCUAGAAUAGAU